UCCCUAGUGGCUCAGAUGGUAAAGCAUCUGCCUGCAAUGCGGGAGACCCAGGUUCAGCCCCUGGGUCGGGAA
Molecule: transfer RNA, 72 nt
Filed under: Bos taurus (domestic cattle)
Lineage: Eukaryota; Metazoa; Chordata; Mammalia; Artiodactyla; Bovidae
Also listed under: 2 other names
Rfam family: tRNA
About the family: Transfer RNA (tRNA) molecules are approximately 80 nucleotides in length.
Source: Rfam by way of RNAcentral